This 401-nucleotide ribosomal RNA is filed under the name uncultured bacterium. RNAcentral describes it as "partial 16S ribosomal RNA". It matches the Rfam family "Bacterial small subunit ribosomal RNA", at positions 355 to 774 of the family's 1533-position model. The record is from RNAcentral. RNAcentral also lists the same sequence under 1 other name.
UGGGGAAUAUUGCACAAUGGGCGAAAGCCUGAUGCAGCAACGCCGCGUGAGCGAUGAAGGCCUUCGGGUCGUAAAGCUCUGUCCUCAAGGAAGAUAAUGACGGUACUUGAGGAGGAAGCCCCGGCUAACUACGUGCCAGCAGCCGCGGUAAUACGUAGGGGGCUAGCGUUAUCCGGAAUUACUGGGCGUAAAGGGUGCGUAGGCGGUCUUUCAAGCCAGAAGUGAAAGGCUACGGCUCAACCGUAGUAAGCUUUUGGAACUGUAGGACUUGAGUGCAGGAGAGGAGAGUGGAAUUCCUAGUGUAGCGGUGAAAUGCGUAGAUAUUAGGAGGAACACCAGUAGCGAAGGCGGCUCUCUGGACUGUAACUGACGCUGAGGCACGAAAGCGUGGGGAGCAAACA